AAGUCGUAACAGUUACCGAUGUCAGGUGACACUGCGGAAGGAUCAUUAAAGAAUUCGGCUUCGCGGCCAAGUUCUCACCCUUUGUAUACCGAAACCACGUUGCUUUGGCAGGCCCCUGCAUUUCUCGGGCCUGCCAGAGGUUAUAAACCCUAGAAUCUCUGCUGUCUGAGUACUAUGCAAUAGUUAAAA
RNAcentral lists this unclassified non-coding RNA (189 nucleotides) under plant metagenome. RNAcentral's name for it is "partial contains small subunit ribosomal RNA and internal transcribed spacer 1". The record is from RNAcentral.